UCUCAGGAAACUAUCUAGAAAGAAGCUUUGUUGCUAUGGAGACAUUUUUAUUUUCUUCCCUUAGUUGGCUGAAAAAAACAUUAGCAUUUCCAAUUUUUUGUUCUUCAAAAGGCCAAAUGUCGCUCAAGAAAACACAGAACUUUUCAAAUCGUCAUGCAGAAUAGGCUAAUCGAGCUUUAGAUGUUUAAUUAAUUAUUCGACUCAAUUAGAAGUGUACCAGAGAGAGGCGGGAGGCCCGGUGUAACUUUUCUGCAAAUUCUCCUCAAUGGCUGAUUCCCGCUGGCCAGCGUAAUUGCUCAAAAACACAUCUAAAACUUUGCAAUUCAUGAUGCACUCGACAAUCUUUCAUAACAACUUAGGAAUCAGUCAGACCACUCAUUUCCUCCAGCUUCUUCUAAAAUCAGCCUCAGAAACUGAAAACACUCUAACUGGGAAUUUACUUCUUUCCCAGCGCGGGGGAAGAGAGAGCAAGAGCCGUGUAACACCAGCAUUAACCUGCUACCAGCACUCGGUGUCUUCAGGCAGGGGACGGAAAGUUGCAGUGCAUUUCACCCACGUUGCUGACUCCACAAGGCUAACACCUCUUUAACUGAACCUGCAAACACGUGCUUCAUUCCAGAUACGUUCACCCUGAGCAAACUGGUGUAAACAUGAAUGCCAGCAUUGGGGGGUAUGGUUUUAAUUGCGCACUUACAUUAUAACGAGGACUUCAAAAAAAAGAUAAUAAAUAAAUCCAUCUCCUCCCUCUGCUUCUUUCCUCCUAGCUAUUACACUGUCAAAGACUUUGCGCUGGAGAAGACCUUUCCACCCACCUCCUCACCCCAGCAAACUUCCUCUUCCUACUCUACAAUGUGAAGUCAUAAUCUUGUAUUAUCAACAUCACAGUCUGUUGCCAUGGAAAUAAUUAGACAUGACUGCUCAGGUUAGAAAUUACAGCCCAUGUAAGUGUUUGCCUCCUGGGUGAAGAGAGCAUCUGGAGAGAGAACAUUUGAGUUACCCUAAAUCACCAAGUGGCAAAAUAAAGUUUGAUAGUGAGAAGCGCUGUAGGAGCUCAUCCAAAUGUGGGCACACCACUGAGUAAGAGUCACCCUGCCGUAACAGGCACGAGCAAAGAGGCCAGCAUAGUUUAUACACAGAAGAAGGAAAAAAGCCAUUGCGUAAAGGAAGUGAAGCCACAGACAUGGCAGAAUCAACUAAUUCUUUGAUAGCAGAGUACAUGUUACUUUCAUAUGAAUGCUCUUCACUAAAUUAAAAUUCCCAGACGACCUCAUUAAAAAGGCAAAUGAUGUGACACUGAAUGAAAGAAAGAAAUGUAAAAUUCAGUUAAAAAAAAAGAAGAGAUACCUGAGGUUCAGUUUUGUGUUUUAAAAUCUGCUAAAAACCACAGACUUGAAUGACAUGCUACAAGUCUAGCUAUGAAAAGGUUAUUAAGAAAAAAAAAAAGGGCAAUGCCAAAAAAUCAGCUCCAUAAGAUAAACCAAGACAACAAACAGGACCCUGCUAAUUAAUAUUUGUUCUGCUUCAGCAGACAGUUACUGGACGAGACUGCAACAAACAAGCUUGUCUCACCCAAUCACAUCAUUAAUCCAUUCACGUUCACCACCUGAGGACCAGCUAUGCCCUACAGAUAUUUAUUCAUCUGUUCCACAUACAAACAAUUACAACACAUUUUCUGGAAUUAAGGCACCUGUUACAUUCAGCACAGCUUACAUGCCCAGAGGCAGAUAUCAAUUAAUACUGAACAAAUUAUUGUAUCGCGAGCCAACAGAAGUUACUCAUUAUAUUUUGAUAAUGCUACCCUCAAAACACCCAUGAAGAUCAAAACACAACUCUUGUGGAGCAAAGUUUAGUUCAAACAUGUUCAGCUCAAAAAUUACCACUUCAUCAUUACAGAAAGCAAAAUACACGCAACGCCUUGUUUCUGUACAGAGAAAGGCGCACGCAGAAGCCAUGACACGAAUGCGAAACAUGUUUUGAUUUUUACAAGUCUGUGAAGAGCUUUUCAGCUGAGUGGUAUUGAAGUGGCAAAAUGAAAUGAUCAGGAAAUAAAUUCUCUAACUUUCUUUACGCAUGUAACAGAUAACUAUGUUUCUUUGGCUCGUUAAAUACAAACUGAAUGCAAUGGUGUUUGACAGGAGACUCAUAUCACUGGAGGAAGUCUCACUUAAAAGAAACUUGACAAUUAAGAUGAAGUCUACUGCAGUAAAUCAUGUCAGUUUGUGCUGUUCCUCUACCAGUGGAAGAACAAAGUCCGAGCAAUGCAAUUACAUUUGAGGGAUCUCAAAUAGGCUAUUUUAUUCCAGCCACAAGAUAGCAGCUUUUAAUUAUUGACUUAUUGUGACUGAGAUGAACUCAUAGAAAUGAACAGUUUCCACCAUGUUGGCAUAUCGUACUACAGGUAUGGCCUAUCCCCAAAUAAUUUACAAUUCAAAUAAAAAAAAAAAAAAAGGAAAAAUACACCACAUGGGUAUAAAGAACAGAUAAAGAACAGAAGUGGAUUAACUACAGACAGGGAAAAAAGUUGCAAGAGUUUAGUCCCAUGUACAGGACAGUGAUUUAGAAGACUUUGAAAUUCUUGAAUAUGUUGGUAAGGGACAUCACUGGCUGUGACAGACUCAAAGCUUGGUGAGCAGCUGGGGGCUCCUUUAGUCUAGGUGUCUCGGCCAACGCCAUGGGAAGAGACUGCUACCACUUGAUUACUGUCUGCCAUAUGACACCUUCACACACAAAAUGCUUCCUAAGCUUCUUCAGAAGGUAAUUUUUACAGAAGGGGCUUUGUUAUGGACCAGAGAAACUUUUGUCAAAUUUGUCCCAGAGACAGUGGGUGAGAAGCAGGCCAGGAAGAAUGACAUGCCUCCUGAAUCAGCAGUCCUUAUGAGAGGUGGAAAAAUCCUUGCGGGGUGCAAACAGAAAGCAAGGGCACGCUGCAGCACCGCAGAAUCAUAUUUUAUUUAUUUACUAGUUAGCCAAAAAAAAAAUAUUCUUACUGCAUUGAAAAGAGAAAACAUCAGACCUUCUCAGAAAAGCCAUGUGUUUAACUGUGCAGCUGCUUGUUUGUCUUUGAGUCUAAACACAUAUUAUUCUGUCAUAUCCCUUAAGCCACCGCUACACUGUCAGCACAGCCCCUUGCUGCCCUUCCCUCCCCUCUCCUCUGCCUUGAAGAGCAGACCCAUGACCCAGUUUACUGCAUCUCGAGCUCUUCCCCACUUCAAACUUUGCAGAGGAUUCGGAGGACUGAAUCCAACAUGAAAUCAAAGAGUUCCCAAAGCCAUCCUCCUCCACCGAACUUGAUGUGCAGAUGGCGAUCUAUUAUUUAGGAAUAGCUCCUGGACAAUCUCAUGUUAUCUGGAAGGUCCCUACUCGUUCAGCAGCGAACUGCUUGCUCCAGGGAGGUGCUGGGAAGGAUGCAAGGCUGGGCUCUCUUAUCAGGCAGAAAGUGUCAUGUUUAGAGGAGUGAUACAAACCGAAAUGGGACUGUGUCUGAAAAGAAACAGCCUUUUGAUGCCAACCUGCCUCACUCCAUGGCUGCAGCCUCAGAUCUUGGCUCCAGUGCUCACCAGUGACACGAACAACUUGCCUGCCACAACCUCCAAAGAACCCGUAAAAUCUCACAUGCAAAAGGUGUUACCAGCCCAGCCCUUCUCUUCCUCACCCACACGCUGCUCAUUCCUCUCUGUGCGGAGGAACAGAGAGCAGCAGUUCCAGCUGCUCCAGCACAGCAUUUUCCCUGGGCAGAACUACGCAGAGGGUCACGGUGAGCAUAACUGGAAACAAGUUUCACGAACAAAACUGCCUGCCAAAUCAAAGACACAGGAAGUGGUAGCAUGAAGUGGCGAGGGGAAAUGGGACACUUCAGUCAAGCUCCUCUGUACCGAUGGGCAGGGUACCUUCAUUAUCUGAAUCAUACACUAAAGCGUAAAUUUACACUUUACGAGCUAUUCUAAAAUCUGCCCUGCUUAAUAAUCUGUAUCAGCAAGAAAACACUUUAAAGUGUCUCUCACAAUUAAACCCAGGCACAACCUUGUAUAAAUCAAAAUUUUGCUACCAUAUCAAAACGUUACACUGGGGCUGUAUAACGUUGCCCAUAUCCUCAUUACAUGCUACACUAAUUACUACCAGCAGAUUCAGAAUUUUCUGCACAUUAGAGGCUUUUAGAGGAGCUAUAAAAAAUUUCAGGCACCAUUAAUUUAAAUUUGUAUUGAA
Cygnus olor (mute swan) is the source of this 4203-nucleotide long non-coding RNA. RefSeq lists it as uncharacterized. The transcript has 3 exons. NCBI's taxonomy places the organism in Eukaryota, Metazoa, Chordata, Aves, Anseriformes, Anatidae. The record is from RefSeq and is a predicted model, not a curated record.